RNAcentral lists this ribosomal RNA (646 nucleotides) under uncultured bacterium. RNAcentral's name for it is "bacterial SSU rRNA". The stretch from base 1 to 537 matches the Rfam family "Bacterial small subunit ribosomal RNA", at positions 338 to 873 of the family's 1533-position model. The record is from RNAcentral.
CCUACGGGAGGCAGCAGUAAGGAAUAUUGGUCAAUGGACGCAAGUCUGAACCAGCCAUGCCGCGUGAAGGAUUAAGGCCCUCUGGGUUGUAAACUUCUUUUAUAGGGGACGAAAAAAGGGCAUUCUUGCUCACUUGACGGUACCCUAGGAAUAAGCACCGGCUAACUCCGUGCCAGCAGCCGCGGUAAUACGGAGGGUGCAAGCGUUAUCCGGAUUUACUGGGUUUAAAGGGUGCGUAGGUGGGUUGGUAAGUCAGUGGUGAAAUCUUCGAGCUUAACUCGGAAACUGCCAUUGAUACUAUCAAUCUUGAAUCAUCUAGAGGUAAGCGGAAUAUGUCAUGUAGCGGUGAAAUGCUUAGAUAUGACAUAGAACACCAAUUGCGAAGGCAGCUUACUAUGGAUGUAUUGACACUGAGGCACGAAAGCGUGGGGAUCAAACAGGAUUAGAUACCCUGGUAGUCCACGCCCUAAACCGAUGGAUACUCGACAUUUGUGAUAUACUAUAAAGUGUNUGAGNGAAGACAUUAAGUUAAUUACCCACCCUCGGGAAGGUACGGACCGACCGAACGGUUAGUAAACGUACAAAGUAAGUAGUUAGACGGUCGUAGAGACGUACGACCGACGACGACCGACGGGAGGGAGGGAGG